GAGUUUGAUCUUGGCUCAGAUUGAACGCUGGCGGCAUGCCUUACACAUGCAAGUCGAACGGCAGCAUGAUCUAGCUUGCUAGAUUGAUGGCGAGUGGCGAACGGGUGAGUAAUACAUCGGAACGUGCCCUGUAGUGGGGGAUAACUAGUCGAAAGAUUAGCUAAUACCGCAUACGACCUGAGGGUGAAAGUGGGGGACCGCAAGGCCUCAUGCUAUAGGAGCGGCCGAUGUCUGAUUAGCUAGUUGGUGGGGUAAAGGCCCGACCAAGGCGACGAUCAGUAGCUGGUCUGAGAGGACGAUCAGCCACACUGGGACUGAGACACGGCCCAGACUCCUACGGGAGGCAGCAGUGGGGAAUUUGGACAAUGGGCGAAAGCCUGAUCCAGCAAUGCCGCGUGUGUGAAGAAGGCCUCGG
This 415-nucleotide ribosomal RNA is filed under the name uncultured microorganism. RNAcentral describes it as "bacterial SSU rRNA". It matches the Rfam family "Bacterial small subunit ribosomal RNA", at positions 9 to 420 of the family's 1533-position model. The record is from RNAcentral.